Mustela putorius furo (domestic ferret) is the source of this 105-nucleotide small nuclear RNA. The record is from Ensembl. Lineage: Eukaryota; Metazoa; Chordata; Mammalia; Carnivora; Mustelidae.
GUGCUCAUGUCAUCAGCACAUAUACUAAAAAUGGAAAUACAGAGAAGAUUAGCAUGGCCCCUGCAUAAUGAUGACAUGAAAAUUUGUGAAGUGUUCCAUAUUAAA